AGGAUAAACGCUGGCGGCGUGCCUAACACAUGCAAGUCGAACGCCCUUACGCAAGUAGGGAGUGGCGGACGGGUGAGGAACACGUGGGUUAUCUGCCUUUCGGUGAGGAAUACCAGCGAGAAAUCGCUGACAAUACCGCAUACGGUUCUUUCGAGAGGAAGAACGAAAGUCGUAAGACGCCGGGAGAUGAGCCUGCGCCCGAUUAGUUUGUUGGUGGGGUAAAAGCCUACCAAGACUGCAAUCGGUAGCUGGUCUGAGAGGACGAUCAGCCACACUGGGAUUGAGAACGGCCCAGACUCCUACGGGGGGCAGCAGUGAGGAAUUUUCGUCAAUGGGGGAAACCCUGAACGAGCAACGCCGCGUGCAGGAAGAAGGUUUUCGGAUCGUAAACUGCUUUUCUGUGGGAAGAGAACGGACGGUACCACAGGAAGAACGCCCCGGCUAACUACGCGCCAGCAGCCGC
This 463-nucleotide ribosomal RNA is filed under the name uncultured bacterium. Its description in RNAcentral is "SSU rRNA". It matches the Rfam family "Bacterial small subunit ribosomal RNA", at positions 26 to 518 of the family's 1533-position model. The record is from RNAcentral.